Mesocricetus auratus (golden hamster) is the source of this 409-nucleotide long non-coding RNA. RefSeq lists it as uncharacterized. The transcript is spliced from 2 exons. NCBI's taxonomy places the organism in Eukaryota, Metazoa, Chordata, Mammalia, Rodentia, Cricetidae. The record is from RefSeq and is a predicted model, not a curated record.
CCUCCUGCCAUAGGCUGCCCCCUCUCCGCCUUAACUCCUUCCCUCCCAGCACCAGCCCUGGGCACCUCCUCUUUGGGGCCUGGCUCACCCCACCAGGCCUCCCGCCCUUUCUGGCGGCCUUUCUUCUCCUGCCUCGGCUUUCCCUGUUUCUAAAGGAAUAAAGGGAGAGGCCAUCUUUGGAUCCCCUUGCAGUGGCACCUUCUCCAAACUAAAAGUCCUCUCCUCCGAGGCCUCCAACCCUGCCCUCAGGCCGAGUCAGAGGAGCCUCCCUGAGGGUGGAAGCCAGCUCUUUCCAAGGUAUGGCUGGCACACUUAGCUGGCCAGGAGAUUCAAGUUACAGAUGAAGAACCCAACUCUAGACAAAAGGAAAGGAAGGGGGACAAAAUAAUAAAAUGACCUUCAGUGACCA